GCGGGCGUGGCGGAACUGGCAGACGCGGCGGGUUUAGGUCCCGCUGGACUUCGGUCCUUGGAGGUUCGAGUCCUCCCGCCCGCA
This is a non-coding RNA of Actinobacteria bacterium RBG_16_68_12, 84 nucleotides long. The record is from Rfam. Lineage: Bacteria; Bacillati; Actinomycetota.